AACGCAUAUUGCACUCUCUGGCAUUCCGGAGAGUAUGCCUGUUUCAGCAUCAGAAAUCUCAAUCAACCUUCUUCCUUUUGGAAAGGUUGGAUCUGGGCAUCGCAUGCAAAGAAAGAAGGAUCCUUCUUUUUUUCCUUUGUGUGCUUGCCUGAAAUUCAAUCGUGGAACGCCUAAAAAAGCCAAAUCAAAAGGUGUCAUAGUUGGAUUUGUCAAUCCAUCUUUCACCGAAUUUUUUGUGCCGUUAGGUGGUUGGUCUGCGUUUUCUGCCUGUCCUCUGCGAGGCAGCGGAAAAAGAAACCCCUUUUUCAAUUUGAUCUGAAAUCAGGUAGGAUUACCCGCUGAACUUAA
RNAcentral lists this unclassified non-coding RNA (348 nucleotides) under uncultured fungus. Its description in RNAcentral is "partial contains 5.8S ribosomal RNA, internal transcribed spacer 2, and large subunit ribosomal RNA". Lineage: Eukaryota; Fungi. The record is from RNAcentral.